This 30-nucleotide non-coding RNA is filed under the name Mus musculus (house mouse). Lineage: Eukaryota; Metazoa; Chordata; Mammalia; Rodentia; Muridae. The record is from RNAcentral.
UNUACUGACCCAAAUAUGCCUUUAUGGUGU